RNAcentral lists this ribosomal RNA (405 nucleotides) under uncultured bacterium. RNAcentral's name for it is "partial 16S ribosomal RNA". It matches the Rfam family "Bacterial small subunit ribosomal RNA", at positions 28 to 526 of the family's 1533-position model. The record is from RNAcentral.
GACGAACGCUGGCGGCGUGCCUAAUACAUGCAAGUCGAGCGAAGCGGGAACGGGUGAGUAACACGUGGAUAACCUCCUAUAAGUCUGGGAUAACUUCGGGAAACCGGAGCUAAACCGGAUACUAAUAGAUGGAUCCGUGCGGCAUUAGCUAGUUGGUAAGGGAACGGCGUAACAAGGCAACGAUGCAUAGCCGACCUGAGAGGGUGAUCGGGUAAACGGGAACUGGGACACGGUCCAGCCGCCUACGGGAGGCAGCAGUAGGGCAUCUUCCGCAAUGGGCGAAAGCCUGACAGAGCAACGCCGCGUGAGUGAUGAAGGUCUUAGGAUCGUAAAACUCUGUUAUUAGGGAAGCGGUACCUAAUCAGAAAGCCACGGCUAACUACGUGCCAGCAGCCGCGGUAAUAC